GGUGAGAUGGCUUAGUGGUUAAUAGCACUGGCUGCUCUUCCAGAGGACCUGGGUUUGAUCCCCAGCACCC
This is a non-coding RNA of Mesocricetus auratus (golden hamster), 70 nucleotides long. The record is from Rfam. NCBI's taxonomy places the organism in Eukaryota, Metazoa, Chordata, Mammalia, Rodentia, Cricetidae.